RNAcentral lists this unclassified non-coding RNA (248 nucleotides) under plant metagenome. Its description in RNAcentral is "partial contains small subunit ribosomal RNA, internal transcribed spacer 1, and 5.8S ribosomal RNA". The record is from RNAcentral.
UUUCCGUAGGUGAACCUGCGGAAGGAUCAUUAAUGUAACCGGACCGUUCCUUUGCCGUAAAACGCACUGGAUUGGGGAGGGAGAUAUCAUACACCCUAUGUUUAUUUACUUUUGUUGCUUUGGUGGGCCGUCCUUUACGGAGUCGGCCUCGGCUGAUCGCGCCCGCCAGAGGACCCAAACUCUUUUAUUAGUGAUGUCUGAGUACUAUAUAAUAGUUAAAACUUUCAACAACGGAUCUCUUGGUUCUG